This 644-nucleotide ribosomal RNA is filed under the name uncultured bacterium. RNAcentral describes it as "bacterial SSU rRNA". It matches the Rfam family "Bacterial small subunit ribosomal RNA", at positions 28 to 683 of the family's 1533-position model. The record is from RNAcentral.
GAUGAACGCUAGCGGCAGGCUUAAUACAUGCAAGUCGAGGGGGCAGCAAUGUCACCGGCGAACGGGUGCGUAACGCGUAUGCAACCUACCUACAUCAGGGGGAUAGCCCUAGGAAACUGGGAUUAACACCGCAUAAUAUUAUUAAUGGCAUCAUUGGUAAUUGAAAUAUUUAUAGGAUGUAGAUGGGCAUGCGUAGGAUUAGCUAGUUGGUAAGGUAACGGCUUACCAAGGCUACGAUCCUUAGGGGCUCUGAGAGGAGUAUCCCCCACACUGGCACUGAGAUACGGGCCAGACUCCUACGGGAGGCAGCAGUAGGGAAUAUUGGGCAAUGGAGGCAACUCUGACCCAGCCAUGCCGCGUGCAGGAAGACGGUCCUCUGGAUUGUAAACUGCUUUUGAAUGGGAAGAAUGUGCUUCUUGCGAGAGGUAAUGACGGUACCAUUAGAAUAAGCCACGGCUAACUACGUGCCAGCAGCCGCGGUAAUACGUAGGUGGCGAGCGUUAUCCGGAUUUAUUGGGUUUAAAGGGUGCGUAGGCGGCUUAAUAAGUCGGUGGUUAAAAGUAGCAGCUUAACUGUUUUACAUGCCAUCGAUACUGUUGAGCUUGAGAUAUUUGGAGGCAGCUAGAAUUUCCGGUGUAGCGGUG